RNAcentral lists this ribosomal RNA (491 nucleotides) under uncultured bacterium. RNAcentral describes it as "partial 16S ribosomal RNA". It matches the Rfam family "Bacterial small subunit ribosomal RNA", at positions 29 to 506 of the family's 1533-position model. The record is from RNAcentral.
AGUGAACGCUGGCGGUAGGCCUAACACAUGCAAGUCGAACGGCAGCACAGUAAGAGCUCGCUCUUACGGGUGGCGAGUGGCGGACGGGUGAGGAAUACAUCGGAAUCUACUUUUUCGUGGGGGAUAACGUAGGGAAACUUACGCUAAUACCGCAUACGACCUACGGGUGAAAGCAGGGGAUCUUCGGACCUUGCGCGAUUGAAUGAGCCGAUGUCGGAUUAGCUAGUUGGCGGGGUAAAGGCCCACCAAGGCGACGAUCCGUAGCUGGUCUGAGAGGAUGAUCAGCCACACUGGAACUGAGACACGGUCCAGACUCCUACGGGAGGCAGCAGUGGGGAAUAUUGGACAAUGGGCGCAAGCCUGAUCCAGCCAUACCGCGUGGGUGAAGAAGGCCUUCGGGUUGUAAAGCCCUUUUGUUGGGAAAGAAAAGCAGCAGGUUAAUACCCCGCUGUUCUGACGGUACCCAAAGAAUAAGCACCGGCUAACUUCGU